CAACAGGUAGGGUCAGCGGGAACGACGAAGCAGUGAGGAAGCCGGUGCGAAUCCGGCGCGGUCCCGCCACUGUCACCGGGUCGGUGUCAAUCGACGCAGCGGCCCGGGAGCCAGACACUUCUGCUCGUCGCGUACCUG
Molecule: non-coding RNA, 138 nt
Filed under: Kibdelosporangium aridum
Lineage: Bacteria; Bacillati; Actinomycetota; Actinomycetes; Pseudonocardiales; Pseudonocardiaceae
Source: RNAcentral